Molecule: ribosomal RNA, 601 nt
Filed under: Rhinocladiella sp. A8-21-5-2
Lineage: Eukaryota; Fungi; Ascomycota; Eurotiomycetes; Chaetothyriales; Herpotrichiellaceae
Description: eukaryotic LSU rRNA
Rfam family: 5.8S ribosomal RNA (bases 212-366)
Source: RNAcentral
GAUCAUUACCGAGUUAGGGCUCUUCUAGGCCCGAUCUCCCAACCCUGNUGUUUUACUUCAACCUUUUGCUUGCGUUCGGCGCAGCUCCGUCCCCCAGAGGGACCGCCGGAGGACCGUCUACACGUCCUCUGGCCCGCGCUCGCCGACGGCCCCAAUCCAAAACUCAUGAACCAAACUUGAAUUGACUGAGUACCACAUUUAAUCAAAACAAAACUUUCAACAACGGAUCUCUUGGUUCUGGCAUCGAUGAAGAACGCAGCGAAAUGCGAUAAGUAAUGCGAAUUGCAGAAUUCCAGUGAGUCAUCGAAUCUUUGAACGCACAUUGCGCCCUUUGGCAUUCCGAAGGGCAUGCCUGUUCGAGCGUCAUUAUCACCUCUCAAGCCCCCCGGGUUUGGCCUUGGACGGCUGGUCGGGCGACGCCCGACCCCUCCUAAAGACAACGACGGCGGCUUUGUCUGACCCCCGGUACACUGAGCUUCUUAACCGAGCACGUGCCGGAACGAGGGUUGGCGGGCCACGGUCUUCUCCCCUUACAGGGAAAUUUUUCUCAGGUUGACCUCGGAUCAGGUAGGGAUACCCGCUGAACUUAAGCAUAUCAAUA